UGGUUAAAUAAAGGUGAAAUAAAAAAAAAUAGGACAGCCAUUCCACUUCCUAUUAAUCCCAUUCAAAUGAAUACAAUUUGCAGUACGUCUUGAGGUGACAGCAGGGUAAGGGUAGAAUAAAUUGAGGUUAGUUGAGAUAUACCUUGUAAAAAGUAAUUUUAUAUAAGUCAAUGGACAUUACAUAACAACCCAUUUGUCAUAUAGGCUGUGUUAGUGAUCAUAUUAUCAUUACUUUUAUUUACUUAUGCAGAACUUUGCGCAUUUUUUAAAUAGAAGGCGGCAGUGAUUGAGAAACAAAACAGUCGGUUGCUUUAGCUCGCUCGGGGCACCAGUUGGACGACGUUUCACAAUUAGAAAAUUACAUUGGUAAUAAAGUCAUAUUCCUCUCACCCGGCGAGCUGAAAUGAAAUCACCAAAUCGACGCGUAUGCGUAGUAACUAGCUAUGUGAACAGUGUCUCGUAAACACUAACGUUAGCCAGUACAUUCUUUGCUACCGGAGCAGCACGUGGAAAUUUGAUUCAGAUUAUAUGAGACCACAUGGUAUAUACAAUUACAAACCAAAAUAAAACACCGUCAGGAAAAAGUUUAUAUAGUAAUGAAAUCACGGAGAAGGCUAUAGGGACAUGUCAAUCAGUAAUGGCAUCUGUAAUGUUUAAAGUACCAAGGUCCACCACAGGUGACAGAAAAAGUGGAAAGGUUCCCCCUGACCAAGGCCAGAGUGCCAUUAGGAGGUAGAAGAAACUCAGGAGAUAACGUCACACCAUUAGGCCAAACGUAGUGGUUGUUUUUUAGACGGAUAUGCAGAGCCAACCAGGCUACAAAACCUGAUAUGACUGAAUACUCCUGGAGAAGACGGUGGAGCAACAUGGGUUGAAGGAUAAACCUCAGAUUUACAACUGUGAUGAGACUGGGUUCCAGAUGGAUGCAUCUAAAAGAAAGGUCCUUGCACCAAAGGGCUCAAAGAAUAAUUGCAUCCAGGCACCUGGUACACGUGACCGUGUGUCAGUACUGACUUGCUUUAAUGCGUCUGGUGAAGAUGUCCCCCCUUUCAUCAUUUUUGGAAACAGAUUCCCAGGAGGACCUUACACCAAGGAAGGUCCAGCUAAUGCUCUCUAUGGCACAUCACCAUCAGGAUACAUUGACAAUGAACUCUUCAGGGGAUGGUUUGUGAAUCAUUUCAUCAGGUAUGCUGUGAAAACACGUCCCCUGCUGCUGGUGUUUGAUGCACACAAAAGUCACCUGGAUCCAGAGGUGAUUGAGGCAGCAAGAAAAUAAAACGUUGUGCUCCUAGUUCUUCCUCCAAACAGCUCUCACAUUCUGCAGCCCCUGGAUUUGACCUACUUCUCUGCUUUGAAGACUGGGUUUUUCAAGGUGGCUGGAGACCUUUGCCACUUCAAAAACGCCGUAGUCAUUUCCAAGAUGGACGUUCCCAUGGUUCUCCAUCAGCCGUACCAGCAAUGCAAAGAGAGGAAGAUUGUAGUCAGCGGGUUCAGAAAAGCUGGGAUCUUCCCCUUUAAUCCCAGUGCCAUAGAUUCGAGUAAAAUAGUUCCCUUGACAUCCAAAAAGCAACAGCCCCAAAAGACUGCAACUCCCUCCAGCCCCACUCCAUCAGCACCACCACCAGCAGUAAUUCUCAGCAAGUACAUGUCCCACCCCCUGGUGGCAGCAGGACUGAAUAAUCCAGAAUUGGCUGAGAUCUUCACAGAGAUAGAUAAUCAAAAGAAGACGACACCAAGGCAAAGUAAGAUGAACGCCCCACUGAAUGCUAGGGUUAUUACUGAGGAAGAGUAUGAGAGGGAGAUGAAACUGGAGUCGGCAAGGAAAAGAGACGGCAAGACACCGUCUCCUCGUAGCACAACCCCCGACGCCGUAGAGAACCCCCAACCAGCUCUUCUACUUCUCCCUCAGAGGGUGAAACUGCAUCUCCCGCAGUCAAACAAACAAGUAAAUCCAGUAGAACUCGGAGCAGGUCACAUCAGACUACUGAGGAGGGGAGAGACCGAGAACUGGAAGCUGAACAACCAAAUAGCAGAGGUCCUCAAACCAAGAGGGCUGGGUUGAGACACAAGAGAUUGGACUAUGUUGAUAACUCCAACGAUGAGGAUGGUUAUGGUAUCAACCAAGCCUCAGCCAAGACUAUUUCUCCCCUGAAGAGAGUGUUGCCAAACACACACACAAGAUCGAGGCAGUACACAGAAAUAUGUGGCAACCAUGUUCAGAUGAGGAGGAUGUUUCUGAGAUCUCUGACCUUACCUCAACAGAUUUUGAGGACAAAGAAUAUGAACAGCAGGCGAGUUUAAAUUAAUUUGGAUGAUAUAGGUUAAAUUAGAGCGAUUUGGGCGAUAUGGACAAAAAUCCAUAUCGUGAUGAAUUGCCUGAACUGAUGCGAUAAUGGUAAAUAGAACGAAAAGUUUAGCAUUAUAAUGUGCACCACAGAUUUUAUUCUCCUUUAAUGUAAUACUACUAGUUUAAUGCUUGCAGCCAUCAAUUGUCCCAUUAACAAUCACCCAUGUUAGCAAACUUAUUUCAUUGCAAACUUCACAUUACUCUAGUGUAGAAUACUCAUUGUAAUAAAUGAUAUCAUCAAAAUGCCUGCGAAAAGUGAUCGGUACGGUCGGUGUCGAUAAUUUUCGGUUUAUCGUCCCAGCUCUAGGCUUAAUGGCUUUUUAUAGCAGGUUGUCAUUAGUCUCUAGAUCGAUUUGAGAUUAUUGUAAUGUCAUGUGAAUGAUGGUUUCUUAGAGCCAGAUAUUAAAUUGGCCCCUGUUGGAUUACAGAUUGAAGCAAUGAGGAAAGCAAAGAUAAGGCGUUUGAUGCAAAGGAAAACAGUGCUGCUUUCAGAAUCAGAUGAUGACAAACCCUUGGUUAAGAUGAUAACAAGGAAGCCAUCAAAUGAGGAGCUGAAAACGACAGUGAAGAAACUGGUGGCCCAUGUCGACCUGGAGAAAGUCACAAUGAAGGACAUUUUCAAGAAGGUUUUUAAAAUGUACCCUCGUUAUGACCUGUCAAACAAGAAGUCCUACAUCAAGGAAACAGUGAAAAGGGUGAUUUCCUUUGUUGGAUUUCCCAUUUCCAUAAAAAUAAAAUGUUGCCAAAAAGAGAGCAUAUUUACAGUAACACGUCUUGAAUAAAUCUGCCCAGCUGGAGUUUAAAAUAUAAGUUGUUGUCGCAGUGAAGUCUGGAGUUCUUCCCUAAUCGCCACCUUCCAUGGUGUGGCAGGUAGCCUAGUGGUUAGCAUUGGGCCAGUAACCAAAAAGGUUGCUGGAUCGAAUCCCCGAGCUGACAAGGUAAAAAAUGUAAUUCUGCCCCUGAGCAAGGCAGUUUAACCCAUUGUUCCCCGGGCGCCAAAGACGUGGAUGAUGAUUAAGGCAGCCCCCCCGCACCUCUCUGAUUCAGAGGGGUUGGGUUAAAUGUGGAAGACACAUUUCAGUUGUACAACUGACUAGGUAAUGUAAUGCUGUAAUGUGUCCACCUCUGGGCUAAGGUGCCAGGUGCAAAUCCCGCCUCGGAACCUCUCACUGCCCUAGUGUAAUGUCACAAUAGUUUUAUAAAAUCUGCGUUCUA
Salmo salar (Atlantic salmon) is the source of this 3562-nucleotide long non-coding RNA. RefSeq lists it as uncharacterized. NCBI's taxonomy places the organism in Eukaryota, Metazoa, Chordata, Actinopteri, Salmoniformes, Salmonidae. The record is from RefSeq and is a predicted model, not a curated record.